RNAcentral lists this long non-coding RNA (538 nucleotides) under Sus scrofa (pig). RNAcentral describes it as "lncRNA (ENSSSCG00070017037.1)". Lineage: Eukaryota; Metazoa; Chordata; Mammalia; Artiodactyla; Suidae. The record is from RNAcentral.
CACAGCUUGAGGGGGCAGAGGCAGGGCAGAAGCGCGCUUGCUCUUACAGGCUUGAAUCUCUGUGUUCUGUCCUGAUGCUGUGCCAACCCCUACUCCGGGGGGCCCUGCCUCUUCCUGCGGCCACAGAACUACCUUCCUUUCCACUGACCACAGGAGCCGUUCAAUUCUUGGCCUCCUUCUGAUAUCGUUCUGAGGCUUUGCGAGCUCUGGGCAACGGAAGAAAGAUCCAGUGUUAACAUCUGUGUGGUAAUUUUCCAUGACUAUCUCAGAUGGCCGAAGACAUGACUGCUAUUUUCUGGAUCACGACAUCUUUCAGGCUUCAGACUGACCCCUCUGGACAAACAGGGCUUAGGUCCUCUCCAGGUGCUUGUAUGCUGCUUCUCACAUGGGAACAGUGCUCACCACCCCGGGAGGAACUUACAGACAGGUAAUGCGCCAUUGCAACUUCAUGGAAAGUCAAGUUUAAUUUGGGGGAGAUGCCAUGACACUAGCUUUAAAUUAAGAUGUAUAUACACACAUAGACUAUACUAGAUUCAGG